Molecule: transfer RNA, 68 nt
Filed under: Augilodes binghami
Lineage: Eukaryota; Metazoa; Arthropoda; Insecta; Hemiptera; Caliscelidae
Description: tRNA-Asp
Source: RNAcentral
AGGAUUUUAAUUUAAAUAAAAAUAGUUAUUUGUCAAGUAAUCUUUACAAUUAUUAAUUGUAAUUCCUG